RNAcentral lists this long non-coding RNA (1388 nucleotides) under Gallus gallus (chicken). RNAcentral describes it as "lncRNA (ENSGALG00010000512.1)". Lineage: Eukaryota; Metazoa; Chordata; Aves; Galliformes; Phasianidae. The record is from RNAcentral.
CUCCGUGCCCGCUCCGCUGCCAGCACACGGUGGGGUCCUCCGGCUGCUCCCACCCUUUGGGGUUCUUCAUUUUUUUUUUAUUUUUAUUUUUCUCUCGUAAUUGUUAAGAAAAAUUGAAAACAAAACAAAGCAAGAACAAACAAACAAAAAAACUAAAAUCGCCCGGUUUAUUAAAGAAAGUCUCUACCGGCCCGAGACGCCGCUUCGCGCUGCAAAGCGAAGCCCACUUUUCGUCCUACCGAACGCGACACGUUUUCGGAGGAGCCCUCGCUGGCCGCGCUGCCGCCGGGGCUCAACCGGGACAGGGCGCUGCUUCGCCUCGGGCCGCGUUCCUGGUGAGAGAGCACAUUUAAAACAAACCAAGGAGACCACCACCAGCACCGUCGUGCGGCUCUCGGGUUAACUCCCCCCUAAUGACUGACGGCUGGUGCCACUGAGACAAAUAAAUACAUCGUAAGGAGGGCAAUGGGUCGCGAGUCGUUUUGGCCCUAAGUUCGGACUUGGGUGAAAUGGAAAACGGAAUGAAUAGAACUCGGGAGAGCGAACGAGUUUGAAAAACGCCCUUCAAAAUCCGCGGAAAGGGCCCGAAGUGACAACGAUGGAGAGCUUAAAAAUAACAGUUGCAAAGCAACCCGUCAGAAACAAAAUCCGGAGCGGCGGGGUGAGGCUGAAGGGAGAGCCCCGUGCUCCGAGCGGGGCGGCCGGGAAGCGAGCCCUGCCCGCACAGCGACCCGAAACGGGACCGUGCGCCCUGCCCUGCAAAGCCUUCCUCUCCCUUCUGCACCUUCCCCGAGAAAAGGCUCCGCAUCUCCUCGACCCCUCGGCCAAGGCGGUGUGAGGACCCCCACCUCCACCGCCCCGCUCAUACCUUUUCCAUGGAGAAAGUCCAUGGGAAAAAGCACCGCUGCCUUUUUCUGUCGGGUUUGUUUCCCUGCUCAUUCUAUUUUGCUCUGGAGGCUCACGAGGAAGUAAAGUUGGGAAGGACUUCGGAAAGGAGAGAAGCCGGGGGGAGAGGGGGCUGCCGGGCAGGGAGGGAUCGGGGUGCCCGUGAGGUGGGGGCUCCCCGGCUGCGUUAGAGCUCGACAGGGUCGGCACAGCCCAGCCCGAUGCGAGCGGUUGGAUUGUUGGUGGUUGUUCGGUUUUUGGUUUUGUUGUUGGCUGUUUGUUUGUUUGUUUGUUUCAAUGCUGAGUUAAAUAAGGUCCUUCGCUAGAAAGAGUUUUGGCUGGAUGAGUGGUGGAAAGCUAACUCUAGAGAGAACAACAUGAAGUUCAGCAGGAAUUACUGCCCCGGUGAGCUGUGGUGAGCUACUCCGGCCGAGAGUGAACAACAAUAAAUAAAUAAAUGAAAGAAUGAAAGGAAAAAAAAAAAAAAAGAAAGAAAAAAUAAG